UACGUAGGGUGCAAGCGUUGUCCGGAAUUAUUGGGCGUAAAGAGCUCGUAGGCGGUCUGUCGCGUCUGCUGUGAAAACCCAGGGCUUAACCCUGGGCCUGCGGUGGGUACGGGCAGACUAGAGUGAUGUAGGGGAGACUGGAAUUCCUGGUGUAGCGGUGAAAUGCGCAGAUAUCAGGAGGAACACCGAUGGCGAAGGCAGGUCUCUGGGCAUUAACUGACGCUGAGGAGCGAAAGCAUGGGGAGCGAACAGG
RNAcentral lists this ribosomal RNA (253 nucleotides) under uncultured bacterium. Its description in RNAcentral is "partial 16S ribosomal RNA". It matches the Rfam family "Bacterial small subunit ribosomal RNA", at positions 524 to 776 of the family's 1533-position model. The record is from RNAcentral.